Molecule: ribosomal RNA, 275 nt
Filed under: uncultured bacterium
Lineage: Bacteria
Description: partial 16S ribosomal RNA
Rfam family: Bacterial small subunit ribosomal RNA
Source: RNAcentral
UACGUAGGGGGCAAGCGUUGUUCGGAAUUACUGGGCGUAAAGCGUGCGCAGGCGGUGAUGUAAGACAGGUGUGAAAUCCCCGGGCUUAACCUGGGAACUGCAUUUGUGACUGCAUCGCUGGAGUGCGGCAGAGGGGGAUGGAAUUCCGCGUGUAGCAGGUGAAAUGCGUAGAUAUGCGGAGGAACACCGAUGGCGAAGGCAAUCCCCUGGGCCUGCACUGACGCUCCAGUGCACGAAAGCGUGGGGAGCAAACAGGAAUUGAGAUACCCGGGGUA